GGGGUUGUGGCUCAGUGGGUAGAGCACUCGCCUAGCACCUGUGACGCCCUGAGUUCCAUCCUCAGCAACACAU
RNAcentral lists this transfer RNA (73 nucleotides) under Ictidomys tridecemlineatus (thirteen-lined ground squirrel). RNAcentral describes it as "Spermophilus tridecemlineatus (thirteen-lined ground squirrel) tRNA". It matches the Rfam family "tRNA". From Rfam's summary of the family: Transfer RNA (tRNA) molecules are approximately 80 nucleotides in length. Their secondary structure includes four short double-helical elements and three loops (D, anti-codon, and T loops). The record is from Rfam by way of RNAcentral. Lineage: Eukaryota; Metazoa; Chordata; Mammalia; Rodentia; Sciuridae.